RNAcentral lists this non-coding RNA (213 nucleotides) under Secundilactobacillus collinoides. Its description in RNAcentral is "Lactobacillus collinoides T-box sequence". It matches the Rfam family "T-box leader". Rfam says of the family: Uncharged tRNA acts as the effector for transcription antitermination of genes in the T-box leader family. T-boxes are found upstream of many aminoacyl-tRNA synthetase genes and some amino acid biosynthetic genes usually in Gram-positive bacteria. Lineage: Bacteria; Bacillati; Bacillota; Bacilli; Lactobacillales; Lactobacillaceae. The record is from RNAcentral.
GUAUAAGCAAUGAGCAAGAGAGUAAGCCAUUCGAUUUGUGCAGAGAGAAAACGACCGCUGAAACGUUUUUCAAACCGGAUUACUGAAGGUAACUUGUGAGCUGUCGGACUGAACGAACAGUAGGUCUGGCCGGAACAACAUCCGUUAGAUUGUUAUUAAGAGGGGUUAAAAACCCAAUUUAGGUGGUACCGCGAAAAGCAUUUCGUCCUAUGU